UGGCUCAAUUGGUAGAGCAUGGUGUUUGCAACGCCAGGGUUGUGGGUUCAAUUCCCAC
Molecule: transfer RNA, 58 nt
Filed under: Salmo salar (Atlantic salmon)
Lineage: Eukaryota; Metazoa; Chordata; Actinopteri; Salmoniformes; Salmonidae
Rfam family: tRNA
About the family: Transfer RNA (tRNA) molecules are approximately 80 nucleotides in length.
Source: Rfam by way of RNAcentral